AAGUCGAGCGAGUCCUUCGGGGCUAGCGGCGGACGGGUGAGUAACGCGUGGGAACGUGCCCUUCUCUACGGAAUAGUCCCGGGAAACUGGGUUUAAUACCGUAUACGCCCUUCGGGGGAAAGAUUUAUCGGAGAAGGAUCGGCCCGCGUUGGAUUAGGUAGUUGGUGGGGUAAUGGCCUACCAAGCCGACGAUCCAUAGCUGGUUUGAGAGGAUGACCAGCCACACUGGGACUGAGACACGGCCCAGACUCCUACGGGAGGCAGCAGUGGGGAAUCUUAGACAAUGGGGGAAACCCUGAUCUAGCCAUGCCGCGUGAGUGACGAAGGCCUUAGGGUCGUAAAGCUCUUUCGCUGGGGAAGAUAAUGACGGUACCCAGUAAAGAAACCCCGGCUAACUCCGUGCCAGCAGCCGCGGUAAUACGGAGGGGGUUAGCGUUGUUCGGAAUUACUGGGCGUAAAGCGCACGUAGGCGGGCUGUUAAGUCGGGGGUGAAAUCCCGGGGCUCAACCCCGGAACUGCCUUCGAUACUGGCAGCCUUGAGUUCGAGAGAGGUGAGUGGAAUUCCGAGUGUAGAGGUGAAAUUCGUAGAUAUUCGGAGGAACACCAGUGGCGAAGGCGGCUCACUGGCUCGAUACUGACGCUGAGGUGCGAA
Molecule: ribosomal RNA, 652 nt
Filed under: uncultured bacterium
Lineage: Bacteria
Description: bacterial SSU rRNA
Rfam family: Bacterial small subunit ribosomal RNA
Source: RNAcentral